RNAcentral lists this ribosomal RNA (413 nucleotides) under uncultured bacterium. RNAcentral's name for it is "bacterial SSU rRNA". It matches the Rfam family "Bacterial small subunit ribosomal RNA", at positions 355 to 784 of the family's 1533-position model. The record is from RNAcentral.
UGGGGAAUCUUGGACAAUGGGGGCAACCCUGAUCCAGCCAUGCCGCGUGAGUGAUGAAGGCCUUAGGGUCGUAAAGCUCUUUCGCCUGUGAAGAUAAUGACGGUAGCAGGUAAAGAAACCCCGGCUAACUCCGUGCCAGCAGCCGCGGUAAUACGGAGGGGGUUAGCGUUGUUCGGAAUUACUGGGCGUAAAGCGCACGUAGGCGGACCAGAAAGUUGGGGGUGAAAUCCCGGGGGCUCAACCCCGGAACUGCCUCCAAAACUAUUGGUCUAGAGUUCGAGAGAGGUGAGUGGAAUUCCAAGUGUAGAGGUGAAAUUCGUAGAUAUUUGGAGGAACACUAGUGGCGAAGGCGGCUCACUGGCUCGAUACUGACGCUGAGGUGCGAAAGUGUGGGGAGCAAACAGGAUUAGAUA